AGAUUAGAGAAAUGAAGCCUGCACAAACCCAGGGAGGUUUUCAGCAGACACGAGGGAUGGCAGCAAUCAUUCACCAGAAAGUCUCACAUAGGAGAUUUUCAUUGAUAGUGCAAACUUAAUUUGUAUAUCUAAAGAUGAAGUACCUUCCUUUUCCGGUAAAAGUCAUUUCCUUUGUCAGGGGAACGUCUUUAUUGGCCUCAGAACCUCCUAAAAGAUUCCCAUAGCUUAUCUUCCUUCCAUUUCUAAGACUAGAGAGGAAUUUCUAAGAUGAAAUAGGGAAGUUAGGUUUAGCCAUGAGCUGAAGUCACAUAAAUAAUCUGCAAAUGUACUCAUCACAAGGAAAAGACUUUAAUGGUCCUUUCAUAAUCUUUUUCAAAGGAAAAAAAAAAAAGGAUAACCCUCAGCUUUAUUCUGACAUUUUCCCUCGAUGAUGCCAAUCAAGGCAUUUAUUGGUUAGUAUAACCAGAAGACUGUACUCAUGAAUAUUUUGACAUUUAAAGAAGGAUAAUAAAGGAACAGAUAUAUAAGCUUGCCUGCCAAAGGAUAUAGUGAUAUGCUGCAUAACAGCCACCUUGGCAAUAAUGUGCUUCUCCACUAUAAGGGAGAAAAAUGAAGCGGCCCAGAGACAACAAUGAAAGAAUUUGAAAGCAUUUUCCCAGAGUUGACGCCAAGAGAGCUAUAUUCCAAAACUUGGACCCAUGCUGACUCAUUGCCUAACUGCACAUUUUCCUGGUAACCAGGCGGAUGAUGUGCUAAUGCAAAUUGGCAGACUUGGACUGAAACUCCAAAAAUUGGAUCUGCCACGUGGAAGAACAAAAGGACAAAAGAGACUUCAAGGCUUCCCUUUUGCUUUGGGUUUCCAUUUCUGUUGCAAUGGUAGACAUGAGUGUUUUGAAAACAUUGUCCCACCUGGAGAAAUCUGGAAACUGGUAAAAUGAAGGCCUGUCUGAGAAACAAAACACUGCUGCAAAGAAUCUGAUUUAGUAUCAUGACUUUGGUUCAUUUUUAAUAUAGAAUUUCAUGGCUCAUCAAGGGGUAAGCCAGUCUAUCAAAAGAAGUUGUCUUUUUUGUUCAUUUUAGAAAUGUCCCUGCUGUUACUGUGUGGCGUGUGCUUUUGAAAACUCAACACAGUUUAAACAGAAGAGGGCUGAGGCUUUGUUCUCUCUCCCCUCUUCCCGUCUAAGUUCAUUGUCUUUGCCCUACAAGUUCUUCUCACAGUUUUACCAAUUCCUUCCUGCCCAUAUGAACAAAUGUCAUAGCUUAGCAACAAUCAUCAUUUCAUAUUACAUUUAUAGUUCAGCUAAUAUGAUGGAAUGAUCUACAUGCCAGAAUCUCUUAAUUUCUUUUCCUUUCCUUUACACAGCUGCAGACUGGAACCAAAUGCUCAGUCAGAUAUCUUUCUUAUAUAACUAAUGGGAGGUGAGUGUUUUCCUGUUUCUGUUUUCUCUCUCACCCAUAUUUUCUGUCUCCCUCUGUAUUUAUAGAACCAGCUUUAAUUAUAAUUUAGCAGUGUGCUGAGGGCACAUCAGUGAGUCUCCAGAUGGUGCAAAGCAACCUGUGAGAGUACAUUGCUUUUCACAUUUGAUCUUGGAAUAGCCAAUAUGUUCCUGGCAAGCACUGACUAAGCAGUUGACCUGUCUAUUUGCCGUUAGUUUCCAUUUACUUGCUUUCUGGUAAUGAAUACUAAUAUUCCAUGAUAUGAUGGGUCCCCUAAUGUAUCUCCCUAUUUUUCCCUUUUAGAUUUUCCUUUAUGCUUCAUCCGUGGAUCAGUAGGAGGGAAUCCUUUAAUUUAAUACAUAUAUAUUAAAUUAUACAUUUAUUUCAUUAUUUUAAACGAGCUUUUCCUUCCAGCGUAUCACAGCUUCUGAAAUGAAGGUCUUAAACUUAAUGUCAAAGAGUGCUGGAUAUUUUUUUCUAAAAGCAUUUUUGAGAAUGUGAAAAGUAUAUCUAUAAAUAAAUGAAGAGAAAAGAAAGACGAGGAAGAGAAA
This 1988-nucleotide long non-coding RNA is filed under the name Sus scrofa (pig). RNAcentral describes it as "lncRNA (ENSSSCG00040039222.1)". Lineage: Eukaryota; Metazoa; Chordata; Mammalia; Artiodactyla; Suidae. The record is from RNAcentral.